This 253-nucleotide ribosomal RNA is filed under the name uncultured bacterium. Its description in RNAcentral is "partial 16S ribosomal RNA". It matches the Rfam family "Bacterial small subunit ribosomal RNA", at positions 524 to 776 of the family's 1533-position model. The record is from RNAcentral.
UGCGUAGGAUCCGAGCGUUGUCCGGAUUUACUGGGUGUAAAGGGUGCGCAGGCGGACUGGUAAGUCAGAGGUGAAAUCUCGUCGCUUAACGACGAAACUGCCUUUGAUACUAUCAGUCUUGAGUCCGGUAGAGAUCUGUGGAAUUCCGAGUGUAGCAGUGAAAUGUGUAGAUAUUCGGAAGAACACCAGUGGCGAAGGCAGCAGAUUGGGCCGGUACUGACGCUCAGGCACGAAAGCAUGGGGAUCAAACAGG